CCGCCUCGAUUUGUGCAUGCACCUCCACGACAACAGACAGUCUGUCGGUGCAGAUUUUUCAUCAUCUCUUCUUUGGUGUGUCUAAAAGACGAUCAAAAAUUGAAACAUCUGCACCAAAGCCAUAUUAGGGAAGGAGAUGAAGAAGAGUGAAGGAACCAAAAAAUAAGAAAAGAAGCAACGGACAAACCUAAUGCAUGAUGGUCACAGAAUAUCAUUGCAGGUCAUCAAAAUCAAUGCUGUCGAUUCCCUCCAGCUCCAUGGGGAGGAUUGUUCUCUCAAUUAAC
RNAcentral lists this long non-coding RNA (284 nucleotides) under Elaeis guineensis (African oil palm). RNAcentral describes it as "long non-coding RNA (EGUI_LNC046463)". Lineage: Eukaryota; Viridiplantae; Streptophyta; Magnoliopsida; Arecales; Arecaceae. The record is from RNAcentral.